This 497-nucleotide ribosomal RNA is filed under the name uncultured bacterium. RNAcentral describes it as "partial 16S ribosomal RNA". It matches the Rfam family "Bacterial small subunit ribosomal RNA", at positions 28 to 507 of the family's 1533-position model. The record is from RNAcentral.
GAUGAACGCUGACGGCGUGCCUAAUACAUGCAAGUCGAGCGAACGGACGAGAAGCUUGCUUCUCUGAUGUUAGCGGCGGACGGGUGAGUAACACGUGGAUAACCUACCUAUAAGACUUGGAUAACUUCGGGAAACCGGAGCUAAUACCGGAUAAUAUUUUGAACCGCAUGGUUCAAAAGUGAAAGACGGUCUUGCUGUCACUUAUAGAUGGAUCCGCGCUGCAUUAGCUAGUUGGUAAGGUAACGGCUUACCAAGGCAACGAUGCAUAGCCGACCUGAGAGGGUGAUCGGCCACACUGGAACUGAGACACGGUCCAGACUCCUAAGGGAGGCAGCAGUAGGGAAUCUUCCGCAAUGGGCGAAAGCCUGACGGAGCAACGAAGCGUGAUGGAUGAAGGUCUUCGGAUCGUAAAACUCUGUUAUUAGGGAAGAACAUAUGUGUAAGUAACUGUGCACAGCUUGAAGGUACCUAAUCAGAAAGCCACGGCUAACUACGUG